This 651-nucleotide unclassified non-coding RNA is filed under the name Hevea brasiliensis (rubber tree). The record is from RNAcentral. Lineage: Eukaryota; Viridiplantae; Streptophyta; Magnoliopsida; Malpighiales; Euphorbiaceae.
CUCUCAUGAGGUUUCAACAAUGCAGUGUAUACUUGAAAGUUAGCAGGGGAUCCAGAUAGUGACUGCACGUUCACUGCAAUAAAUAAGAUAUGUGAUGCCUUCAACUGACUUGCACUUCAAUGAGCAGAUCUCUUUGUAUGACUAAAAUAAAAUAGACAGAUUAAAUAAAUAAACAACUAAACAUGCAAAUCAAAACAUAACUUCCAAGGGUAUAUAUAUGUUCUCUAUCAAAAUAAUGAUUUAGCAUAUGUAUCAGAUUCUCAUCCGGGAUGAUCAAUCUUAAUCAUUAAAUAAGAUAAAAUAAAAAUAUUUAUUUAAGCACACACUCACAACAAAAGGGAACUACUAGGGAAGACAAGCUCUUUCCCUACUUCAAUCUGAAGUAAAUUCAACAAGGUUUCAACUGGCUCUUUCCCUAUGGAAGACAAGCAAGAUAAAUAUCCCUGCACAAUGGAUUUGAGAAGCACCUAAUAAUCCUCAUCUAUGCUAGUUCCUGUGAAAAUAAUAAAACUUCAACAUAUUCAUAAGAUGAUUCAUUUACCUCCCCAUUUUUCAGGAUCCAAUUGAAAAGCUUCUAAUGCACGCUUCUGACAUAAAGUCUCAGCCAUGUCAAUGUACUCAUUCCCUCCAUAAUAUCUAGCCCCAGGGUAC